This 745-nucleotide ribosomal RNA is filed under the name uncultured Glomerales. Its description in RNAcentral is "LSU rRNA". It matches the Rfam family "Eukaryotic large subunit ribosomal RNA", at positions 38 to 633 of the family's 3401-position model. The record is from RNAcentral. Lineage: Eukaryota; Fungi; Glomeromycota; Glomeromycetes; Glomerales; Glomeraceae.
GCAUAUCAAUAAGCGGAGGAAAAGAAAAUAACAAUGAUUCCCCUAGUAACUGCGAGUGAAGAGGGACAAGCUCAAAUUUUAAAUCUGUCGGGUUUACCUGACCGAGUUGUAAUUUGAAGAAGCGUUUUCUGCACUGUUUGAUCAGCCCAAGUCCUAUUGAAUGAGGCAUCAUGGAGGGUGAUAAUCCCGUCCGGUUGAUCAUUGUGCUCUACGAUACGCUUUCAAAGAGUCAAGUUGUUUGGGAUUGCAGCUUAAAAUGGGAGGUAAAUUUCUCCUAAGGCUAAAUAACGGCGAGAGACCGAUAGCGAACAAGUACCGUGAGGGAAAGAUGAAAAGAAUUUUGAAAAGAGAGUUAAACAGUACGUGAAAUUGUUGAAAGGGAAACGAUUGAAGCCAGUCGUACCUUCGGGUAAUCAGCUUUUUGGGUGCGAUUCUGUGAGGUGUGAGGAGUUAAACGCCUUCAUGUUUUGCAUAUUCGUGCUCUUGGGUGUACUUGCCCGUGUGGUUGGUUAACAUCAAUUUUGGACGCCAUAAAAUGACUGGAGGAAUGUAGCUUCGAUCUCGUAUUGAAGUGUUAUAGCCUUCGGUAGAUGUGGUUUUCGAGAUUGAGGAUUGCAACGGAUACCCUUCGGGGCUACCUAUCUGAUCUCUGAUCGUUGCUCUGGUGGCGAAAGCUUGCUUACGGAUAUCAAAGUCGAUGGUCAAUAGGUUAGAAUAGGUUAAAUUCGUUAAGGAUGUUGACGUA